Molecule: ribosomal RNA, 590 nt
Filed under: uncultured archaeon
Lineage: Archaea
Description: bacterial SSU rRNA
Rfam family: Archaeal small subunit ribosomal RNA
Source: RNAcentral
AGGAGAUGGAUUCUGAGACACGAAUCCAGGCCCUACGGGGUGCAGCAGGCGCGAACACUUUACAAUGCGGGAAACCGCGAUAAGGGAACCCCGAGUGCCAGCAUCAAAUGUUGGCUGUCCAGAUGAUUAAAAAUCAUUUGUUAGCAAGGGCCGGGCAAGACCGGUGCCAGCCGCCGCGGUAACACCGGCGGCCCGAGUGGUAGCCGUUUUUAUUGGGUCUAAAGGGUCCGUAGCCGGCCUGAUAAGUCCUUUGGGAAAUCUGGCAGCUUAACUGUCAGGCUUCUAAGGGAUACUGUCAGGCUUGGGACCGGAAGAGGUAAGGGGUACUCCAGGGGUAGGAGUGAAAUCUUGUAAUNCCCUGGGGGACCAUCUGUGGCGAAGGCGCCUUACCAGAACGGGUCCGACGGUGAGGGACGAAAGCUAGGGGAGCAAACCGGAUUAGAUACCCGGGUAGUCCUAGCUGUAAACGAUGCUCGCUAGGUGUCAGACACGGUGCGACCGUGUUUGGUGCCGNCAGGGAAGCCAUUAAGCGAGCCACCUGGGAAGUACGGUCGCAAGGCUGAAACUUAAAGGAAUUGGCGGGGGAGCAC